GUGUGCAGAGACACUGAGGUGGGGUGGAUCCAUGGAGGAGGCGUGCAGAGACACUGAGGUGGGUGGAUCCAUGGAGGAGGCAGAGACACUGAGGUGGGGUGGAUCCAUGGAGGAGGCAGAGACACUGAGGUGGGGUGGAUCCAUGGAGGAGGCAGAGACACUGAGGUGGGGUGGAUCCAUGGAGGAGGCAGAGACACUGAGGUGGUGUGGAUCCAUGGAGGAGGCAGAGACACUGAGGUGGGUGGAUCCAUGGAGGAGGCAGAGACACUGAGGUGGGGUGGAUCCAUGGAGGAGGCAGAGACACUGAGGUGGGAUGGAUCCAUGGAGGAGGCAGAGACACUGAGGUGGUGUGGAUCCAUGGAGGAGGCAGAGACACUGAGGUGGGGUGGAUCCAUGGAGGAGGCAGAGACACUGAGGUGGGAUGGAUCCAUGGAGGAGGCAGAGACACUGAGGUGGUGUGGAUCCAUGGAGGAGGCAGAGACACUGAGGUGGGGUGGAUCCAUGGAGGAGGCAGAGACACUGAGGUGGGGUGGAUCCAUGGAGGAGGCAGAGACACCGAGGUGGGGUGGAUCCAUGGAGGAGGCAGAGACACUGAGGUGGAUCCAUGGAGGAGGCAGAGACACCGAGGUGGGGUGGAUCCAUGGAGGAGGCGUGCAGAGACACUGAGGUGGGUGGAUCCAUGGAGGAGGCG
Long non-coding RNA from Esox lucius (northern pike), 691 nucleotides. The record is from Ensembl. Lineage: Eukaryota; Metazoa; Chordata; Actinopteri; Esociformes; Esocidae.